This 484-nucleotide ribosomal RNA is filed under the name uncultured bacterium. RNAcentral describes it as "partial 16S ribosomal RNA". It matches the Rfam family "Bacterial small subunit ribosomal RNA", at positions 30 to 507 of the family's 1533-position model. The record is from RNAcentral.
AUUGAACGCUGGCGGCAGGCCUAACACAUGCAAGUCGAGCGGAUGAAGGGAGCUUGCUCCUGGAUUCAGCGGCGGACGGGUGAGUAAUGCCUAGGAAUCUGCCUGGUAGUGGGGGAUAACGUCCGGAAACGGGCGCUAAUACCGCAUACGUCCUGAGGGAGAAAGUGGGGGAUCUUCGGACCUCACGCUAUCAGAUGAGCCUAGGUCGGAUUAGCUAGUUGGUGGGGUAAAGGCCUACCAAGGCGACGAUCCGUAACUGGUCUGAGAGGAUGAUCAGUCACACUAGAACUGAGACACGGUCCAGACUCCUACGGGAGGCAGCAGUGGGGAAUAUUGGACAAUGGGCGAAAGCCUGAUCCAGCCGUGCCGAGUGUGUGGAGAAGGUCUUCGGAUUGUAAAGCACGUUAAGUUGGGAGGAAGGGCAGUAAGUUAAUACCUUGCUGUUUUGACGUUACCAACAGAAUAAGCACCGGCUAACUUCGUG